Molecule: long non-coding RNA, 1237 nt
Filed under: Ursus maritimus (polar bear)
Lineage: Eukaryota; Metazoa; Chordata; Mammalia; Carnivora; Ursidae
Description: lncRNA (ENSUMAG00000013457.1)
Source: RNAcentral
AUGGAAGGAAUCGUCUGGCUGCGAGAACUCAGAGAACAUCCUGUCCUGCCUGCCCCUGGAGAGACCGGGAGCAAAGCUCAAGUUUACCCAGUGCUGCUGAAGAGAGCGGGGAGUCGGCUUCCUGCUGGGCUCAGAGACUCCUGCAUGACUGUCUCCAGAACCUGCCCCAGCCCCAGCUUGCCCUGCCUGGUACCCGUCCUCACAGUGGCACUUGCUGUUCCUACGGCAACACUCCUCUGCCCUCGCCCUCUCCCAGCUCACCUCCAUCCCUGUGACCUCAUGGCAAGGCGACUUCUCAGGCAUCCAGACCAGAUAUGGAGGGCUUUGCAGUCCCUCUGCAAGCAGGGUGGUUAGGAGCACAAGCUUUGGAAUCAACAGACCUGAACACUUGCUGUUUAGUCAAGCCAUUAACCUUGCAGGGCCUCAGUUUCCUCAUCUGAAAAUGGGGUGAGUAAUGAUACCUAUCUCACAGGGUGUUUUCUAGGAAUUCGUGAGAAAAUAUUUGUAAGGAACACAUAGUUCCUAGUCCACAGAAAGAGGUAGCUUAUAAUGCUAUUGGUACUUCUGUUUCUAAGUAUUAGGUUCCCAAGCCCACCUCAACAUCCUAGUUUCUCUAAUGCCGUAUCAAGUCAAAGAAUCUUACAAAUGGAAGAGACAAGAAGUCACCUAAGAUAAGUACUGUUUCUUUAUGUAGUUUUCAUUCAUCUCUCUCUCUCUAAGGAUGAAAUAAUAGCAGUAUUUGGCACAUGCCUGGGAUAUAGUAAAUGCUUAGUAAAUGUUAGGGUUUGUGAUAGUGUUACAUGUCAACUUGACUGGAUCAUAUGAUGCCCAGACAUCUGGUUAAAUGUUAUUUCUGGUGUGUCUAUGAGAGUGUUUCUAGAAGAGACUAGCAUUUGAAUGCGUCAACUGAGUAAAUGGAAUUGCCCUCCCCGGGGUGGGUGAGCAUCCUUCAAAUGAUUAUAAUGGCUUUAAUAUUGGCAAAUCCUGGGCCUCAAAUGUUGGGGUAGGGUGUUUGGGAAAUAGCCAAAUGCCAUUCAAACCCAAGUCAGGUGGAAAAUGUAAUCUCUAGCUGCAUUAAAAUGGAUCCAGAAUGAGGACUGACGGGGCGCCUGGGUGGCACAGCGGUUGGGCGUCUGCCUUCGGCUCAGGGCAUGAUCCCGGCGUUAUGGGAUCGAGCCCCACAUCAGGCUCUUCCGCUAUGAGCCUGCUUCUUCCUCUCCCACUCCCCCUGCUUGUG